Lontra canadensis (Northern American river otter) is the source of this 650-nucleotide long non-coding RNA. RefSeq lists it as uncharacterized. The record is from RefSeq and is a predicted model, not a curated record. Lineage: Eukaryota; Metazoa; Chordata; Mammalia; Carnivora; Mustelidae. The transcript has 2 exons.
AGCCUUUCAGCUUAGACAUCCCUCUUUGAAGGAGAGGAAGACCACAGUAAUGACCCCAGGGAUGUCUGGGGUUUGGGUUGACCAAGGACUGAGGGUCUCCCUGGGGGCACAUCAGCCCAGAGAGGGGCACAGGUGUCCUCUUCCUGACUGGCCUUGACCUCCCUCUCCUCCCCGCACUGCCUCAGUGGAGCCUGUCUCCCCCACCUGGCACUGCCCCCCAGCCCCACCCCAGGGCAUCCUCCCUGUCUGUUUCUCCCGUCCCUUUGCUGGUGGACUUUGUCCCCUCCCUCCCGCCCCAGUGCGCAGACAUGGCCUCUUCUGCUCAGUCAGACCCACACUUCCUGAGCUCCACUAGUUGCUCGCUGCAGGGGUGUGCCAGACACCUCACGGAGUCCAUGUCUUGCCGGCAAGACUGGUAAACCUGACUGCGCUCCUAUUUCUCUCUGGUACCUUCUCUGCAAAAGUGGGAUGGCUGGGGCUGAGGGCUUGCUCUAGUUGCCAGAUUUACCUCUGGAAAGGUUGCCUCCAAUUAUAUUCCCCACCCCACACCCCCAGCAAUGAGAGAGUUACUCUUCCCCCACCCUGUCACAACAAAGGGCUGUGAGCACUUGUUACCGUUUUGCGAGUCUGGUGGGUAAAAAAAAAAAAAA